Molecule: RNA transcript, 2896 nt
Organism: Dermacentor albipictus
Lineage: Eukaryota; Metazoa; Arthropoda; Arachnida; Ixodida; Ixodidae
Gene: larp
Gene name: La related protein
Source: RefSeq, a predicted model, not a curated record
UGGUAUAGAUGUGGUAUAGAGAGACAUGGCAGGACAUAUUCUCGGACAUUUUCCUGCCACCCCUGGGCGCUGUUGAAGCAACGGAAGCUGACGGAAUUUACUUCUGGAGGGUAGUCGUAGCGGUCGUAGGACGACGGCUGCCACGGGUGUCGUUGCUGAGCCAGGUGGCGGAGCUGGCAGCGUGCCGUUGGUGCCGUCAUGGCGGCGGUAGUGGCGAGUGGCCGCGCGCAGUCCGGCGGUGGAAAUGUGACGGAACCGAAAGCAUCGAAAGACACCGGCGCCUCGUAUGCCCAAGCCGCGGCCCGCGUGUCCUCCCAGGAGCCAGCUGCUGUUUCUAACGGAAUAACAGAACCAGUAUCCGGUGGACCCACUCAGAGCCUAGGCCUAAGCAGCAAUAUGGUUCGGCCCGGUUCGUGCGCGCAGGUCGCCGCCGAUGCGCCCAGGGCUAACCCCUGGGUGAAGCGUAAUGCGCAAGCAGCCUGCUCUGCCGCCGCCGCCAGCCGCACCGCAGCUGGUGGCAACCCUGGUGUGUCCUCCCACAAGGUGGACGAGGAAGAAGACUGGCCUAGCCUUGGACCAACGUCAGCUACUCAGAACGAGGUCAGCCACCACAGUGAUGAUGAGGACUCGGCCAAGGAGAACCGGGACGGCACAACCAGCACCACGCCUGACUCAUCAGCUCGCAAUACACCCCGCUCGGGUCCCCGUAAAGGCAGCAAGCAGAAGUGGGUUCCCCUGGACAUUGAGCCAGCGAAGCCCCGCAAACCAGCUGGACAUGAGGCCCGGCUUGGCAGCCGGCCGGUUGAAGGAGGUGAACGCCGAGGUCGUAGCUUCCGUGGGCGGCAGCGAGGGGGACGGUCGGGCCGGCCCUGGAGCACCCCACGUCCCCAGCCCAGCUCACUAGGCAGUCGGGGUCCAGAGGAGGGCUUUUCAUCUGCGGCUCCGAUUGCCUCAUCAUUCCUGGGCACAUACUACUUCAACCAGGGCUACAUACGUGUGGACGAGGCAACGUUACGCGAGUAUGUACGCAAGCAGGUCGAGUACUAUUUCUCCGAGGAGAAUCUUCAGCGGGACUUCUUUCUGCGCCGAAAAAUGGAUGCCCAGGGGUACCUGCCAUUGAGCCUGAUUGCAUCGUUCCACAGGAUACAGGCACUGACCCAGGACGUGGCGCUUGUCAUGGAGGCGGUGCGUGAGAGCCCCCUGCUGGAGCUGAAUGAUGUCAAGGUGCGCACAGUCAACGACCCCACGCGCUGGCCAUUGCCUCAAGCAUCGCUGCACCCGGACGUGCCUGCCUUUGUGCCAGGCCAGCCAUACCCGCCCACUUCGGAUGCAGGCAACGAGGCUGACACUGAGGAGCCACCUGAGGACGAGGGCUGGAAGGAAGUGCGGCGCCGCAACCGGUCACACCGGGCUCGCACGGCGUCACAAGGCCAUGCAGCCCCAGAGCGUGAGGAGCUCGAGUUCCAGUUUGAUGAGGAGCUACAGCGAGCCCCCGACGGGCGCAACAACACAUUCACUGACUGGUCUGAUGACUCGGACUAUGAGUUCAGUGACACGGAGGUGAACAAAAUCCUGAUUGUGACCCAGACGCCACCACCGCCAUCUGGCCUACGCAAGCACGAAGGCUACGAUCGGACAGGUGACUGGACCAGCCGUGUGAAAAUGACCCAAGAGCUAGCACAGGUGAUUAACGAUGGCCUCUACUUUUACGAGGAUGACCUGUGGAACCAGGUGGAUAGGCAGGAGCAGCAGAUAUACCGUACAGUCGAGGUAGUCAGUGAGGAGGAGUUUGCCCAACGCCAAGGCCCACAGCAGCGGGCAGCGGGUGGGCAGGCACCACCACCCCCACCACCUCCGCCCGUACCAGAGGGCACACCGCGCAGCGCGGCAGGCCGCACACCGCGCAAGGACCCCCGGGUGGCCCCCCGCUUUUACCCUGUGGUGAAGGAGGGCAAGCCGGACACACCGCGCAAGCAGAAGACGCGGCACAGCAGCAACCCUCCAACAGAGCACCAUGUAGGCUGGGUGCUGGACGUCCGGGAACACCGGUCACGAGCAGCCUCCAUUGGGGAAGCAGCAGUCGCCGAUGUGGUGCAUGGCAGCACACCACACUCUCUGCCCACUUUUGAGCACCCAAGUCACGCCCUGCUCAAGGAGAAUGGCUUCACCCAGUUAGUCUACCACAAGUACCGGUCACGUUGCCUCAAAGAGCGCAAGCGGCUUGGGCCAGGCCAGAGCCAGGAGAUGAACACACUGUUUCGCUUCUGGUCAUUCUUCCUGCGUGAGCACUUCAACCGCAAGAUGUAUGAGGAGUUCCGUCGGUUGGCUCUGGAGGAUGCACGCGCAGGCUACCGGUAUGGCCUGGAGUGUCUGUUCCGUUUCUACAGCUAUGGCCUGGAGAAGCACUUCCGGCCAGACCUGUAUGAGGACUUCCAGCAGGAGACACUGCGCGAUUGUGACCAGGGACAGCUCUAUGGCCUCGAGAAGUUCUGGGCUUUCCGCAAGUACUACCGCCUCAGCCACCAGUGCCACGUUGAGCCCCGGCUGGAGUCCCUCCUGCAGGGAUACCGCAGCAUCGACGACUUCAGGAUAGAUAUUCCGCCACCAGGCACCACCACAGCACCGUAAUAGAGUGGCGUGCGCAAGAGAGAUGCUGAUGCCGAGACUGCCACUGACAAAGAAGCUCCAUAUCACCUUUAAAGCGUGGAGAGGCCACGUCAGCGUACUGGAGCCCUGUGAGAAAUGUGUGCCUUGUUGUAGGCCCAACCUGGCACUGCCAGGCUGCAAGCCUCCUCCUCUAUUUCCUGGGUGGUAGAGCCUUUUUUCACGCCAUUGUAUAAAAUACCCUUCUUUGUGCUCAGAAGAAUAAAUGCCAACGCCUGUUUUAGUUUUCGUA